GGGGGGGGGGGGGGGGGGGUGGGGGCGUGGGGGGGGGAGGGGGAGGGCCGGGGGGGUGGGGGGGUUGGGGGGGAGCGGGUGGGUAGGAGGUGGGGAACCUGCCCUUUACUCUGGGCUAGGGCUGGGACACUGGGUCUCAUACUGGAUGUGCCUUCUCGUCGCAUGGUGGGGGGUGGCAGGCUUGAUUGGUCUUGGCUGGACUCGCGGCCUAUCAGCUUGUUGGUGAGGUACUGGCUAACCCAGGCGACGACGGGUAGCCGGACUGAGAUGGUGACAGGCCACACUGGGACUGAGACAAGGCAGAGACGCCUAAGGGAGGAAGCAGGGGGGAAUAUGGCACAAUGGGAGCAAGUCGGAGGCAGCGACGCCGCGUGAGGGAUGACGGCCUGCGGGGUGUAAACAGCUUCCAGUAGGGAAGAAGCGAGAGUGACGGUACCUGAAGAAGAAGCGCCGGCUAACUACGUG
This 465-nucleotide ribosomal RNA is filed under the name uncultured bacterium. Its description in RNAcentral is "partial 16S ribosomal RNA". The stretch from base 56 to 465 matches the Rfam family "Bacterial small subunit ribosomal RNA", at positions 39 to 507 of the family's 1533-position model. The record is from RNAcentral.